RNAcentral lists this unclassified non-coding RNA (1591 nucleotides) under Caenorhabditis elegans. RNAcentral describes it as "Non-coding transcript of protein-coding gene mdt-26". Lineage: Eukaryota; Metazoa; Nematoda; Chromadorea; Rhabditida; Rhabditidae. The record is from RNAcentral.
AUGGUCGCUUGCGCUGCGCUCUCCUCCUUGCAGCCACCAAAUCACUUGGCGGUUUCAAUGGCUGCGUCUGCUCAAAAUGUUGAAGAAAUCAAAAAACGGCUUCAAAUAGCCGCUGAAAAUGAUGAUCAGACGUUGUGCGAAUCACUGCUCAACGAAGUUCGGCCGUUGGUGACGAGUCGAGAAAUUUUAGAGGAAACUCGAAUUGGAUUCGUCGUCAAUCAGCUUCGGAGGCAGUACUUCAAAAAGUGGCCAGCUCUUUUGAGGAUAAGUAGAGAAGUUAUCAAAUCGUGGUCCGAAAUCGUGUGCGAUGAGGUUAAAAGGCCGCAAAGUGGAGCUUCUUCUCGAAAUACAACACCGAAUGUUCUUUCUCCGAGUGUCGCCAGCGAACGGUUCAUAUGCUCCACGUAGUCAAGUUUCGCCUGGCGAGUCGACUCCUGUUGCUGCCUCCGUCGUUGUGAACGGAAUGCACAAGUCAGCGUCAGUUGGUGGAGAUCUUCUGAAACAUGCAACAGCAUCACUUUCUACAAAACCAAUCACACCAAAGGAGAAUGGAAAACGGAAAGCCGUCGAUGAAGCUGCUGCUCCCUCAAUCAAGAGAACCAAAACGGCUGCUGCUGCACUUUCAGUAUCAAUUACUCCUGGAACUCCAACAACAAUGGCUCCACAAACGCCUACCAUGUCUGUUUCUGCUGCUAGAAAAGCUGUUCAGAGCACUAGUGAGCUCUUCGCUCAAAUGAGCCAGACACUUCCUGGGCACAUUGACAUCGGUACAGACAUUCGGGAGCACGAGGAACGUGUGAAAAGAGAGCUCAAAGAUGAAGAGCUGGCACACAGUCUUCAAUCGUCUGCUAGCUACGGAAACUUCGGUUCAGCAACAACAACUGAACGGAAAAAGCGGAAAUACGAGCGAAAAAUUCAGAAGGGCACUGCACCGGGCACUCCAGCAGCAGUGGCAUCCCCCUUGUUGCAGACGACAACGAUGGUCACGCCUCCGUCUUCAAAUAAUAUUCCUGAAGAACGUCUUCCUUCGCUGGUCAUCCGCCUUGGUAAAAACGGUCUCACUUCAGCUGCUUCAACUCCAGCAUUUGUUUCAUCAGAAGAAUCCGCAAAAAGGAAAUAUGAGAAGAGCAUUCGUUCAAUACCACGUUCAACGACUCCUCCACCUACAGCUAGAAUGCAGGAAAAAGAACGAGAGAAAGAAGAGAUGAAACGUGAGAAAGAGCGACAAGAAGCUAUCAGAAGAAGAGAGCAAGAAGAAGAAGAGGAAGAAGAAAUAGUCGAUGAUAAGCCUAAACCUGUUCUAAGUAAGCUGAAAGACUGGAAAUCAUUGAUUCCAUCGAUGGAAGAGCUCCGAAUUCGUGCUCAACUCGCUGAAAAAGAAACUAAAAAAGUACUUGAAGUUUCUGCCGUUAAAACGAAAAAGGAUCCGACGAAAGUGCAGCUGGUGAAGAAUUUCCGAAGACCAAUUUUGAUUCUUCCAUAUCUGGAAAAUCCAACGGGACCGGACUUUUUAUUACACAAAUAUCCCAACAGUCUACAAUACUACUCGGAAGACAAUUUUAGGUUUGGAGAGAAACGUCCCACUGCGUAA